GACGGAGGGGGCAAGCGUUGUUCGGAAUUACUGGGCGUAAAGCGUGCGCAGGCGGCUUUGCAAGACAGAUGUGAAAUCCCCGGGCUUAACCUGGGAACUGCAUUUGUGACUGCAUGGCUAGAGUGCGGCAGAGGGGGAUGGAAUUCCGCGUGUAGCAGUGAAAUGCGUAGAUAUGCGGAGGAACACCGAUGGCGAAGGCAAUCCCCUGGGCCUGCACUGACGCUCAUGCACGAAAGCGUGGGGAGCAAACAGG
This 253-nucleotide ribosomal RNA is filed under the name uncultured bacterium. Its description in RNAcentral is "partial 16S ribosomal RNA". It matches the Rfam family "Bacterial small subunit ribosomal RNA", at positions 524 to 776 of the family's 1533-position model. The record is from RNAcentral.